UCCUGGCUCAGAUUGAACGCUGGCGGCAUGCCUUACACAUGCAAGUCGAACGGCAGCACGGGUGCUUGCACCUGGUGGCGAGUGGCGAACGGGUGAGUAAUAUAUCGGAACGUACCCUAGAGUGGGGGAUAACGUAGCGAAAGUUACGCUAAUACCGCAUACGAUCUACGGAUGAAAGUGGGGGAUCGCAAGACCUCAUGCUCAUGGAGCGGCCGAUAUCUGAUUAGCUAGUUGGUGGGGUAAAAGCCUACCAAGGCGACGAUCAGUAGCUGGUCUGAGAGGACGACCAGCCACACUGGAACUGAGACACGGCCCAGACUCCUACGGGAGGCAGCAGUGGGGAAUUUUGGACAAUGGGGGCAACCCUGAUCCAGCAAUGCCGCGUGAGUGAAGAAGGCCUUCGGGUUGUAAAGCUCUUUUGUCAGGGAAGAAACGGGAUUUUCUAAUACAAAGUCCUAAUGACGGUACCUGAAGAAUAAGCACCGGCUAACUACGUGCCAGCAGCCGCGGUAAUACGUAGGGUGCAAGCGUUAAUCGGAAUUACUGGGCGUAAAGCGUGCGCAGGCGGUUGUGCAAGACAGAUGUGAAAUCCCCGGGCUCAACCUGGGAAUUGCAUUUGUGACUGCACGGCUAGAGUGUGUCAGAGGGGGGUAGAAUUCCACGUGUAGCAGUGAAAUGCGUAGAGAUGUGGAGGAAUACCGAUGGCGAAGGCAGCCCCCUGGGAUAACACUGACGCUCAUGCACGAAAGCGUGGGGAGCAAACAGGAUUAGAUACCCUGGUAGUCCACGCCCUAAACGAUGUCUACUAGUUGUCGGGUCUUAAUUGACUUGGUAACGCAGCUAACGCGUGAAGUAGACCGCCUGGGGAGUACGGUCGCAAGAUUAAAACUCAAAGGAAUUGACGGGGACCCGCACAAGCGGUGGAUGAUGUGGAUUAAUUCGAUGCAACGCGAAAAACCUUACCUACCCUUGACAUGUACGGAACUUACCAGAGAUGGUUUGGUGCUCGAAAGAGAACCGUAACACAGGUGCUGCAUGGCUGUCGUCAGCUCGUGUCGUGAGAUGUUGGGUUAAGUCCCGCAACGAGCGCAACCCUUGUCAUUAGUUGCUACGAAAGGGCACUCUAAUGAGACUGCCGGUGACAAACCGGAGGAAGGUGGGGAUGACGUCAAGUCCUCAUGGCCCUUAUGGGUAGGGCUUCACACGUCAUACAAUGGUACAUACAGAGGGCCGCCAACCCGCGAGGGGGAGCUAAUCCCAGAAAGUGUAUCGUAGUCCGGAUUGUAGUCUGCAACUCGACUACAUGAAGUUGGAAUCGCUAGUAAUCGCGGAUCAGCAUGUCGCGGUGAAUACGUUCCCGGGUCUUGUACACACCGCCCGUCACACCAUGGGAGCGGGUUUCACCAGAAGUAGGUAGCCUAACCGCAAGGAGGGCGCUUACCACGGUGGGAUUCGUGACUGGGGUGAAGUCGUAACAAGGUA
This 1482-nucleotide ribosomal RNA is filed under the name metagenome. RNAcentral's name for it is "bacterial SSU rRNA". It matches the Rfam family "Bacterial small subunit ribosomal RNA". The record is from RNAcentral.